RNAcentral lists this ribosomal RNA (498 nucleotides) under uncultured bacterium. Its description in RNAcentral is "bacterial SSU rRNA". It matches the Rfam family "Bacterial small subunit ribosomal RNA", at positions 28 to 514 of the family's 1533-position model. The record is from RNAcentral.
GAUGAACGCUAGCUACAGGCUUAACACAUGCAAGUCGCGGGGCAGCAUGAAUUUAGCUUGCUAAAUUUGAUGGCGACCGGCGCACGGGUGAGUAACGCGUAUCCAACCUUCCCUUAUCCACGGGAUAGCCCGUCGAAAGGCGGAUUAAUACCGUAUGAGGUCAUUUGAUGGCAUCUGAUUAUGACGAAAGGUUUGGCGGAUAAGGAUGGGGAUGCGUCCGAUUAGCUUGUUGGCGGGGUAACGGCCCACCAAGGCGACGAUCGGUAGGGGUUCUGAGAGGAAGGUCCCCCCACAUUGGAACUGAGACACGGUCCAAACUCCUACGGGAGGCAGCAGUGAGGAAUAUUGGUCAAUGGGCGAGAGCCUGAACCAGCCAAGUAGCGUGCAGGAUGACGGCCCUAUGGGUUGUAAACUGCUUUUAUGCGGGGAUAAAGUGGGGGAUGCAUCCCUUUUUGCAGGUACCGCAUGAAUAAGGACCGGCUAAUUCCGUGCCAGCAG